CACCAGCCCCUCGAGUGGUGGGGAUGAUUAUUUGGCCUAAAGCGUCCGUAGCCGGCCGGGUAAGUUUCCCGUUAAAUCCAGCGUCUCAAGCGUUGGACUGCGGGAAAUACUGCCUGGCUAGAGAGUGGGAGAGGUCAGCGGUAUUCUGGGGGUAGGGGCGAAAUCCUUUGAUCCCCGGAGGACCACCAGUGGCGAAGGCUGCUGACUAGAACACGUCUGACGGUCAGGGACGAAAGCUGGGGUAGCGAACCGGAUUAGAUACCCGGGUAGUCCCAGCCGUAAACGAUGCAUGCUAGGUGUUGGGUUGGCCACGAGCCACCCCAGUGCCGCAGGGAAGCCGUUAAGUUUGCCGCCUGGGAAGUACGUACGCAAGUAUGAAACUUAAGGAAUUGGCGGGGAGCACCACAAGGGGUGAAGCCUGCGGUUC
RNAcentral lists this ribosomal RNA (427 nucleotides) under uncultured archaeon. RNAcentral's name for it is "bacterial SSU rRNA". It matches the Rfam family "Archaeal small subunit ribosomal RNA", at positions 474 to 903 of the family's 1478-position model. The record is from RNAcentral.